GCAGGGGUCACCUUGGGGUCUGGUUACAAUGCAGGUUCUGAUUGGGUGGGUUCAGGGUGGAGCUCAAGGUUCUGCGUGUCUACCAAGUUCCCAAGUGGUGUGACU
RNAcentral lists this microRNA precursor (105 nucleotides) under Marmota monax (woodchuck). The record is from RNAcentral. Lineage: Eukaryota; Metazoa; Chordata; Mammalia; Rodentia; Sciuridae.